CCUACGGGAGGCAGCAGUGAGGAAUAUUGGUCAAUGGGAGAGAUCCUGAACCAGCCAAGCCGCGUGAGGGAAGACGGCCCUAUGGGUUGUAAACCUCUUUUGUCGGAGAACAAAAUCCGGGACGUGUCCCGGACUGCGUGUAUCCGAAGAAUAAGCAUCGGCUAACUCCGUGCCAGCAGCCGCGGUAAUACGGAGGAUGCGAGCGUUAUCCGGAUUUAUUGGGUUUAAAGGGUGCGUAGGCGGUCCGUUAAGUCAGCGGUAAAAUUGCGGGGCUAAACCCCAUAGAGCCGUUGAAACUGGGUGUCUUGAGUGGGCGAGAGGUACGCGGAAUGCGCGGUGUAGCGGUGAAAUGCAUAGAUAUCGCGAAGAACUCCGAUUGCGAAGGCAGCGUACCGGCGCGUGACUGACGCUGAGGCACGAAAGCGUGGGGAUCGAACAGGAUUAGAUACCCUAGUAGUC
RNAcentral lists this ribosomal RNA (459 nucleotides) under uncultured bacterium. Its description in RNAcentral is "partial 16S ribosomal RNA". It matches the Rfam family "Bacterial small subunit ribosomal RNA", at positions 338 to 795 of the family's 1533-position model. The record is from RNAcentral.